Molecule: non-coding RNA, 238 nt
Organism: Pelobates cultripes (western spadefoot toad)
Lineage: Eukaryota; Metazoa; Chordata; Amphibia; Anura; Pelobatidae
Source: the annotation of a GenBank genome assembly
CCUAGAGUGUACACUACAUGACUUGAGCCCCUUAAGAGAAAAUGUGCAAUAAAAAUUGUAUUAUUAUCAUUGUAAUUGUCCUCAACCCUAAAAUGUAGUGUUAGUUAACGUUAUGUUAAUAUUGGCGAAACUAGUCUAUAUUAUUUCUGCUUAUUCAUAUCGAGUUAUUGUUGCAUUAAAAUUAGGAAUAUAGGGAAAGAAAUCCUUGCAUUCCAGUGAGCUGUUUUCUGCAUGUCUG